Molecule: ribosomal RNA, 793 nt
Filed under: Alnicola subconspersa
Lineage: Eukaryota; Fungi; Basidiomycota; Agaricomycetes; Agaricales; Hymenogastraceae
Description: eukaryotic LSU rRNA
Rfam family: 5.8S ribosomal RNA (bases 235-388)
Source: RNAcentral
AAGUUGGUGUGGUUGUUGCUGGCCCUCUCGGGGGCAUGUGCACACCCACCAUCCUCAUCUCUCCACCUGUGCACCUCUUGUAGACCUGGAUUGACUUUCCGAGGCAACUCGGUCGGGAAGAUUGCUGCGCUCUGUGAGCCAGCUUUCUUUGCAUGUCCAGGCCUAUGUUUUUCAUAUACCCCUAUAGAAUGUAACAGAAUGUAUCAUUGGGCCUUGUGCCUAUAAACCUUAUACAACUUUCAGCAACGGAUCUCUUGGCUCUCGCAUCGAUGAAGAACGCAGCGAAAUGCGAUAAGUAAUGUGAAUUGCAGAAUUCAGUGAAUCAUCGAAUCUUUGAACGCACCUUGCGCUCCUUGGUAUUCCGAGGAGCAUGCCUGUUUGAGUGUCAUUAAAUUCUCAACCUUAUUAACUUUUGUUGAUAAUGGAUUGGAUUGUGGGGGUUUCUUUUGCUGGCUUCUUCACAGAGAUCAGCUCCCCUUAAAUGCAUUAGCUGGUGCCCCGCGUGGACCAUCUAUUGGUGUGAUAAUUAUCUACGCCGUGGAUGUCUGCAAUCAUAUGGGUUUCGCACUGCUUCUAACCGUCUGUUCAUUCGGACAAUACAUGACAAUUUGACCUCAAAUCAGGUAGGACUACCCGCUGAACUUAAGCAUAUCAAUAAGCGGAGGAAAGAAACUAACAAGGAUUCCCCUAGUAACUGCGAGUGAAGCGGGAAAAGCUCAAAUUUAAAAUCUGGCGGUCUCCGGCCGUCCGAGUUGUAAUCUAGAGAAGUGUUAUCCGCGCUGGACCGUGUACA